AAAGAUUAAGCCAUGCAUGUCUAAGUAUAAAUGCGUUUAUAGUGAAACUGCACAAGACUCAUUACACCAGUUAUUGUUUAUUUGAUGGUCUCUUUACCAAGGAUACCUCUGGUAAUUCUAGAGCUAAUACUUGCGCAAGGUGCCGACUCACGAAGGCGCGUAUUUAUUAGAUACCGACCGACCCCGCAAGGGUGAUGGUGAUUCAUAAUAACUGCUCGAAUCGCAUGGUCUUGCACCGGCGAUGCAUCAUUCAAAUAUCUGCCCUAUCAACUUUCGAUGGGAGGGUAGUGGCCUCCCAUGGGGA
This 304-nucleotide ribosomal RNA is filed under the name uncultured fungus. Its description in RNAcentral is "bacterial SSU rRNA". It matches the Rfam family "Eukaryotic small subunit ribosomal RNA", at positions 39 to 352 of the family's 1831-position model. Lineage: Eukaryota; Fungi. The record is from RNAcentral.